AUUGCUGUGAGUCAUUAAAGAUGGCGGAAUUGUCUAGGUAAGAGAAAUAGAGACUGAGAGGUCAUCUGCCUCGUGGAAGCAAUCGCAAAUCUGAAGAAGCGCUUUGUAAUCCAGGUUGUAGUGGUUUGGAAACCCUGUGCAGAAUGUCCUGGAGAUGGCUGUACUUGGAGCAAAUGCUGGGCAAGAAACUUACUUACUUACUUACUCACUUACUUAGUCAGUCCAUAGAUGUAGGAGAAAGGGAUUGGAAACGGAAGUAGAUUUCAAUGUACUUCACAUAUGACCUCGAUAAACAUCCUCGCCUCGCUUAAUGAGGGCUAAUUUAUUCCCCAGUAACCUCACGGGUAACUGAGAUUAUUGCAAAUCUAGGAUUUUAUGAGUUGUCACUAGUAUUCUGUCAAGUUUUCCAGUAUCCAGUGCAACUGUGCUUUAUAUAGAUAGUGAAUAACCAUUAUUCAAGCUCUAUUUACCGUUGCAACUAUCUUCUUCAUUGAAUUUAGCAAUACCUCGCAAGCCAAAACGUACUGAGUACGCUGAAGAAAAGAAGACAGAAGAAUACCGAAAAAUACUCCUCCUCUCUACACCCCUACACGUCACCGCCCUCGUAAAUGUUAUUGGCUGUUCCGGCUAUAUAUACACUCUUGUAUACCUCACCAGCUUCUCUCCAUCUAAGACUGUCUGAUAGAGUGCUAAACUAAUCAUAAUUAUAGCUGUAAUAAUCAUUUUUAUCGUGUAAGUUGUUAAUGUUCGGUUUGAUCCCACUCGUUUUACACUUAGAAAGCAACUGGCAGUGCUGUGGAGUGUUUUGCUGUCUCCAACUGUAUGUAAUUAUACUUAAUGAAUUGGAAAUUGAAAUGUACGCUCACCAGCCUAGUAUAUAUAGAAACUUCGUACAACUGAUUCAUCAAAAGUGAAAACAAUUAAGAAAGUUACAUGGUGUAUUAUGUAUCUUGUCGUGUGAAUGAUCAUGGUUAUUGCCUCAAACUA
Halichondria panicea is the source of this 987-nucleotide long non-coding RNA. RefSeq lists it as uncharacterized. The transcript has 2 exons. NCBI's taxonomy places the organism in Eukaryota, Metazoa, Porifera, Demospongiae, Suberitida, Halichondriidae. The record is from RefSeq and is a predicted model, not a curated record.